UACGUAGGUGGCAAGCGUUGUCCGGAUUUACUGGGUGUAAAGGGCGUGUAGGCGGAGGUUCAAGUCAGGAGUGAAAUCUAUGGGCUUAACCCAUAAACUGCUUUUGAAACUGAAUCCCUUGAGUAUCGGAGAGGCAGGCGGAAUUCCCAGUGUAGCGGUGAAAUGCGUAGAUAUUAGGAGGGACACCAGUGGCGAAGGCGGCCUGCUGGACGACAACUGACGCUGAGGCGCGAAAGCGUGGGGAGCAGAC
Molecule: ribosomal RNA, 250 nt
Filed under: uncultured prokaryote
Description: partial 16S ribosomal RNA
Rfam family: Bacterial small subunit ribosomal RNA
Source: RNAcentral